RNAcentral lists this transfer RNA (69 nucleotides) under Marmota monax (woodchuck). Its description in RNAcentral is "tRNA.Ala". Lineage: Eukaryota; Metazoa; Chordata; Mammalia; Rodentia; Sciuridae. The record is from RNAcentral.
GCCUAUAGCUCAAUGGUAGACCAUUUGUCUAGCACAUGCAGGACCCUGGGUUCAAUCCCCAGCAUUGCA